Molecule: ribosomal RNA, 154 nt
Filed under: Caraotamonas croatica
Lineage: Eukaryota; Ancyromonadida; Ancyromonadidae
Description: Ancyromonadida sp. GTor-2021a 5.8S ribosomal RNA
Rfam family: 5.8S ribosomal RNA
About the family: 5.8S ribosomal RNA (5.8S rRNA) is a component of the large subunit of the eukaryotic ribosome. It is transcribed by RNA polymerase I as part of the 45S precursor that also contains 18S and 28S rRNA.
Source: RNAcentral
CACUUUUAACAACGGAUGUCUUGGUUCUCGCAACGAUGAAGAACGCAGCGAAAUGCGAUACGUAAUGUGAAUUGCAGGAUUUCGUGAAUCAUCAAAUCUUUGAACGCAUAUUGCGCUCGCGGUGUGAGCCGCGAGCACGCCUGUUUGAGCGCCA